GAUGAACGCUGGCGGCGUGCCUAAUACAUGCAAGUCGAGCGAACAGACGAGGAGCUUGCUCCUCUGACGUUAACGGCGGACGGGUGAGUAACACGUGGAUAACCUACCUAUAAGACUGGGAUAACUUCGUGAAACCGGAGCUAAUACCGGAUAAUAUAUUGAACCGCAUGGUUCAAUAGUGAACGACGGUUUUGCUGUCACUUAUAGAUGGAUCCGCGCCGCAUUAGCUAGUUGGUAAGGUAACGGCUUACCAAGGCGACGAUGCGUAGCCGACCUGAGAGGGUGAUCGGCCACACUGGAACUGAGACACGGUCCAGACUCCUACGGGAGGCAGCAGUAGGGAAUCUUCCGCAAUGGGCGAAAGCCUGACGGAGCAACGCCGCGUGAGUGAUGAAGGUCUUCGGAUCGUAAACCUCUGUUAUUAGGGAAGAACAAAUGUGUAAGUAACUAUGCACGUCUUGACGGUACCUAAUCAGAAAGCCACGGCUAACUACGUG
RNAcentral lists this ribosomal RNA (497 nucleotides) under uncultured bacterium. RNAcentral's name for it is "partial 16S ribosomal RNA". It matches the Rfam family "Bacterial small subunit ribosomal RNA", at positions 28 to 507 of the family's 1533-position model. The record is from RNAcentral.